Molecule: ribosomal RNA, 484 nt
Filed under: uncultured bacterium
Lineage: Bacteria
Description: partial 16S ribosomal RNA
Rfam family: Bacterial small subunit ribosomal RNA
Source: RNAcentral
AUUGAACGCUGGCGGCAUGCUUUACACAUGCAAGUCGAACGGCAGCGCGGGCUUCGGCCUGGCGGCGAGUGGCGAACGGGUGAGUAAUGCAUCGGAACGUGCCCAGCAGUGGGGGAUAGCCCGGCGAAAGCCGGAUUAAUACCGCAUACGACCUGAGGGUGAAAGCGUGGGACCGAAAGGCCUCGCGCUAUUGUAGCGGGCGAUGGCGGGUUCGCUGGUUGGUGGGGUAUAGGCUUACCAAGGCGACGAUCCGUAGCUGGUCUGAGAGGACGACCAGCCACACUGGGACUGAGACACGGCCCCGACUCCUACGGGAGGCAGCAGUGGGGAAUUUUGGACAAUGGGGGCAACCCUGAUCCAGCCAUGCCGCGUGCGGGAAGAUGGCCUUCUGGUUGUAGACCGCUUCUGUUCGGGAAGAAAUCCUCUGGGCUAAUACCCCGGGGGGAUGACGGUACCGGAAGAAUAAGCACCGGCUAACUACGUG